GUGGGGAAUAUUGGACAAUGGGCGAAAGCCUGAUCCAGCAAUGCCGCGUGAGUGAUGAAGGCCUUAGGGUUGUAAAGCUCUUUCGGCGGGGACGAUAAUGACGGUACCCGCAGAAGAAGCCCCGGCUAACUUCGUGCCAGCAGCCGCGGUAAUACGAAGGGGGCUAGCGUUGUUCGGAAUUACUGGGCGUAAAGGGCGCGUAGGCGGUUCGUUUAGUCAGGCGUGAAAGCCCCAGGCUCAACCUGGGAAUUGCGCUUGAUACUGGCGAGCUCGAGUCCGGGAGAGGAUGGCGGAAUUCCCAGUGUAGAGGUGAAAUUCGUAGAUAUUGGGAAGAACACCGGUGGCGAAGGCGGCCAUCUGGACCGGUACUGACGCUGAGGCGCGAAAGCGUGGGGAGCAAACAGGAUUAGAAACCCGAGUAGUCC
This 425-nucleotide ribosomal RNA is filed under the name uncultured bacterium. RNAcentral's name for it is "bacterial SSU rRNA". It matches the Rfam family "Bacterial small subunit ribosomal RNA", at positions 354 to 796 of the family's 1533-position model. The record is from RNAcentral.